This 479-nucleotide long non-coding RNA is filed under the name Equus caballus (horse). RNAcentral describes it as "lncRNA (ENSECAG00000044955.1)". Lineage: Eukaryota; Metazoa; Chordata; Mammalia; Perissodactyla; Equidae. The record is from RNAcentral.
CUCAUGGGGAGAGGGGUGGAUCUUGCUGAGUCUACAGCAUUUGUCCAAAUGUGACCAUCGGACCACAUGUGUAAGAAGUAACAGGGAUUGCCUAUUAAAAUGUAGGUUCCUUGGACCCAUCUCAGGCCUACAUAAUCAGAGCUAAUAAGUCCUCUAGGUGCUGUUGAGAGCAACGACAGGCCUCAGCCUCUGACUGCAGAGUGGUCUGCGCGAGGAUUUGGGCUCCUUAAGAUGUUUUUAAAUGCAAAAGCCCUGGAAACAGGAACUGAAAGAAUCCUGAAGAGAUGUCUGUGCGCCCGUGCUCACGGCAACGUUAUUCAUAGGAGCCGAGAGGUGGAGACAGCGCAGAUCUCCAUCAACAGUUUUUCUCCCCAGUGUAACCGCUGGUCUGUUGUGAGUUCUGCCGCAGGCUUUCCCUGUGCGUGUAUAUAUCAGCCUCUGUGUAAGGCGUCAUCCUACGUCUUGUUUUUUCAUUUUCU